Long non-coding RNA from Leptopilina boulardi, 2187 nucleotides. RefSeq lists it as uncharacterized. The record is from RefSeq and is a predicted model, not a curated record. The transcript has 2 exons. Lineage: Eukaryota; Metazoa; Arthropoda; Insecta; Hymenoptera; Figitidae.
CUUAAUUUUUUUUAUAAACAAUCGACACUUAUUAUUGUUCCUUUCUUAAUAUUUGCCCAAUUUUUGACCAAUUUUGACCAACUUUGCCCAAAUUCAGGACAAAUUAAAAAAAAUUCUCCAAAAAAUAGUUAUUUAAAAUAUGUAAAAACUUUUUAUACAAUAAAAAUUAUAUUUGAAAAAUACCAUUUUUUAAUUUGUGCAAUUUCAAUUAAUUCCAACAUCAAAAAUUGACCAAAAUAGGUCUUUUUUACAAAAAUCAAAAGUAUUAAAUUGUUUUUUUUUAUUCAAUUCUUUCUGUUCUAUUUGUAAAUCUUUCUGUUUAUUGUUUCUUUAUUUAUGUUUGCCCAAAUUUGUCCAUUUUUGCCCAAUUUGGUCAAAUUUCGAAAAGUUUCGAAAAAAUCGCUAUUAACAAUAUGUAAAAUUUAUUUUUUGCAAUAAAAACUAUAUUUUGUACAUAAUUAAUCUGAUUUUGUCCAAAUUUGAUCAAUUCCGACAAAAAAAAAUUGUUCAAAAUAGGUCUUCUUUAUAAAAAUCAAUGUUUAUAUUUGCUUUUCUUCCUAAUUCUACGUCUUCUUUUUAUUAAUCACGAUUUCUAUUGAUCUUUUCUUAAUAUUUGCCCUAUAUUGACCAAUUUUGACCAACUUUGCCCAAUUUUGGACAAAUUUUAAAAAGUUUCCAAAAAAUCGCUAAUUAAAAUAUGUAAAAUUAUUUUUUUGCAGUAAAAACUUUAUUUUGAAUAUAAAUAAUUAGAAUUUGUUCAAAUUCGAUAAAUUUCUACAUCAAAAAUUGGCCAAAAAUAGGUCUUUUUUUAUCAAAAUCAAAGCGUAAAAUUGUUUUUUUUUUCAAUUCUACCUCUUCUUUUUAUAAAUUUGAUUUUUAUUGAUCUUUUCUUAAUGUUUGACCAAUUUCGACCAAUUUUGACCAACUUUGCCCAAUUUUGGGCAAAUUUCAAAAUUUUUCCAAUUUUCCAAAAAAAAUUAUUAUUUUUUUUUUUAUCUUUUUAUCAAAAUUAAAGUGUAAGAUUGUUUUUUUUUCCAAUUCUACCUCUUUUUUUUAUGAAUCUUGAUUUUUAUUGAUCUUUUCUUAAUGUUUGACAAAUUUCGACCAAUUUCGACCAAUCUCGAUCAAUUUUGACCAACUUUGCCCAAUUUUGGACAAAUUUUAAAAAGUUUCCAAAAAAUCGCUUAUUAAAAUAUGUAAAAUUGUUUUUUUGCAAUAAAAACUUUAUUUUAAAUAUAAAUAAUCAGAAUUUGUUCAAAUUCGAUAAAUUUCUACAUCAAAAAUUGGCCAAAAAUAGGUCUUUUUUUAUCAAAAUCAAAACGUAAAAUUGUUUUUUUUUCUAAUUCUACCACUUCUUUUUAUAAAUCUUGAUUUUUAUUGAUCUUUUAUUAAUGUUUGACCAAUUUCGACCAAUUUCGACCAAUUUUGGCCAACUUUGCCCAAUUUUGGUCAAAUUUCAAAAUUUUUCCAAUUUUCCAAAAAAAAAUUAUUAUUUACAGUAUGUAAAUUUUUUUUUUUUCCAAAUUAUCUCAAUGAAAAAUUAUAUUUUGAAUGAAAGAAAAAAAAAGAAAUAAUAAUGCGAAUAAAAUUGAGAGGUCAUUGGAGCCGGUGACUGUGUGAUAAUCACGAAUCUCAAAGGGGGAAGUACUCUUUGGCAACGACCUCAACGAGAUCAAAGUGUUUUAUAGAACAUAGUUGGGGUUCGUAGCGUGUGAGCCAUUUAGGUUGGCAAUCGUUUCUUUUUUAAACGCGCAUUAUAUCCUCUUCUCUAAAUAAAAAUUUUUUUCUCUCUCUCUCUCUCUCGUGUGUGUGUGUGUAUGUAAAAAACUACAUAAUCAAGAGCUUCUUUUUUUAAUUUUUAUUUUUACUCUUUUUAAAGAGUCGCAACUAUAAUAAGUGACGCAUUUACGUGGUAAUUAAUUCCCUCGUCACUUUAUAUAUAUAUAUAGAGACAUAAUCGUGACAAUUAUCAUAUAAUGUAUUGGUGGCGCUGUGUGGUGUGUUUGCGCGGGUGCCAUUGACGAGAGGAAAUGCUGCAUUCGCUAGACUGCAAAAACACGCUGAUACCAAAAAAAAAAGGUGCACACAACUUUAAACUUCACAGGACAUUUUUGAACUGGCGGCGAUUUUUUUUCACCCAUAUCGGCAAGAGAGAGAGAGAGAGAGAGAGAGAGAGAGAGAGAGAGA